CCCAGACUCCUACGGGAGGCAGCAGUGGGGAAUAUUGCACAAUGGGGGAAACCCUGAUGCAGCAACGCCGCGUGAGUGAGGAAGUAUUUCGGUAUGUAAAGCUCUAUCAGCAGGGAAUAGAAAAGAAGGUACCUGAAAAAGAAGCCCCGGCUAACUACGUGCCAGCAGCCGCGGUAAUACGUAGGGGGCGAGCGUUAUCCGGAUUUACUGGGUGUAAAGGGAGCGUAGACGGCGUCGCAAGUCUGAAGUGAAAGCCCGUGGCUCAACCGCGGAACCGCUUUGGAAACUGCGAGGCUGGAGUGCUGGAGAGGUAAGCGGAAUUCCUGGUGUAGCGGUGAAAUGCGUAGAUAUCAGGAGGAACACCGGUGGCGAAGGCGGCUUACUGGACAGUGACUGACGUUGAGGCUCGAAAGCGUGGGGAGCGAACAGGAUUAGAUACCCUCGUAC
Molecule: ribosomal RNA, 447 nt
Filed under: uncultured bacterium
Lineage: Bacteria
Description: bacterial SSU rRNA
Rfam family: Bacterial small subunit ribosomal RNA
Source: RNAcentral